GCAUGGAAUAUGUUUGCAUCCAUCCGGUUUUAAUUUUUGCUUCAUUAUUCCCUAGUGCAGGGUCGUCAAUGACAUAAUGUCUGCCUGUUUCAGCAGCGAAAAAUCCUCAGCGAGGGUCAGAAAUGUUAAUGAGGAAUAUCUUAGAGAGCUUCCGGUAACCCUGGAUACUCUUCUAAUACACAGCCGGAUAAGGUGGUGCUACAUUCGACUAAUAACCAGAAAGAAAAAAGACCUCAAUCUUUCCUUUGUCUGGAUCUGUAAUGAGAGCUAUGUCCCCAAAGACAAUUCUUCAAUAAGUUGGAAUGAUGGGGUAUUCCAGAUUUAAAGAGCAGGCAUGAAACAACAGUUCACUGCUAAGAAAAAAAAAUACAUUGUUUGUCUCUGUGGCAACAUUAUAUGUUCAGACAUUCAUUGCUUUGGAAGUACAAAAAGUAAACCCUCUCUUUUGUUGUCAUGAGAUAUAUCUUUGUGGGUACCACAUGGGGUACAGGUCUUUCUUCUGUGGGUGAUUUUUACCCAGCUACAAUUCUAUUCCAUUUCCGGUGAGUAGACAGAGUCCCCAGAUUGUAUAAAUCCUCCUCACCUUGAGGCCUGUAGAGACACAGGAAGUCCCACUGGCUAUCGUGAAGGCAGGUAAUCUACAGCAUGAAAUCAAAGGAGCUCUGAAGAAGAAUCACUUUGAACUUGAGGUUGAAAAGCGGUAGCAACCAGUCCUAGAAGUCAUCAGCAAUGAUCAUGUCCCCCCAGGAGAGUCUCCAAUUUAACGCUCACUCUAUCCCUGAGUACAUCUGUGUUUCUGAGAGCUUUUAUAAGUCUUCCAGUCAAGCUUCAUGGGGAAGAAACAUUCACCAGACAAAAUGUGAAAACACCUAUGGAUCGCCAAGGUCUUCUGUC
Brienomyrus brachyistius is the source of this 894-nucleotide long non-coding RNA. RefSeq lists it as uncharacterized. The record is from RefSeq and is a predicted model, not a curated record. The transcript is spliced from 3 exons. Lineage: Eukaryota; Metazoa; Chordata; Actinopteri; Osteoglossiformes; Mormyridae.